GAUUAGCUUGUUGGCGGGGUAACGGCCCACCAAGGCAACGAUCAGUAGGGGUUCUGAGAGGAAGGUCCCCCACAUUGGAACUGAGACACGGUCCAAACUCCUACGGGAGGCAGCAGUGAGGAAUAUUGGUCAAUGGGCGAGAGCCUGAACCAGCCAAGUAGCGUGCAGGAAGACGGCCCUAUGGGUUGUAAACUGCUUUUAUAGGGGAAUAAAGUUAGUCUCGUGAGACUUUUUGCAUGUACCUUAUGAAUAAGGACCGGCUAAUUCCGUGCCAGCAGCCGCGGUAAUACGGAAGGUUCGGGCGUUAUCCGGAUUUAUUGGGUUUAAAGGGAGCGUAGGCCGGAGAUUAAGCGUGUUGUGAAAUGUAGACGCUCAACGUCUGCACUGCAGCGCGAGCUGGUUUCCUUGAGUACGCACAAAGUGGGCGGAAUUCGUGGUGUAGCGGUGAAAUGCUUAGAUAUCACGAAGAACUCCGAUUGCGAAGGCAGCUCACUGGAGCGCAACUGACGCUGAAGCUCGAGAGUGCGGGUAUCGAACAGGAUUAGGUACCCUGGUAGUCCGCACGGUAAACGAUGGAUGCCCGCUGUUGGUCUGAAUAGGUCAGCGGCCAAGCGAAAGCGUUAAGCAUCCCACCUGGGGAGUACGCCGGCAACGGUGAAACUCAAAGGAAUUGACGGGGGCCCGCACAAGCGGAGGAACACGUGGUUUAAUUCGAUAAUACGCGAGGAACCUUACCCGGGCUUGAAUUGCAGAGGAAGGAUUUGGAGACAAUGACGCCCUUCGGGGUCUCUGUGAAGGUGCUGCAUGGUUGUCGUCAGCUCGUGCCGUGAGGUGUCGGCUUAAGUGCCAUAACGAGCGCAACCCCUCUCCAUAGCUGCCAUCGGGUUAAGCUGGGCACUCUGGGGACACUGCCACCGUAAGGUGUGAGGAAGGUGGGGAUGACGUCAAAUCAGCACGGCCCUUACGUCCGGGGCUACACACGUGUUACAAUGGCAGGUACAGAGAGACGGUUGUACGUAAGUACGAUCAAAUCCUUAAAGCCUGUCUCAGUUCGGACUGGGGUCUGCAACCCGACCCCACGAAGCUGGAUUCGCUAGUAAUCGCGCAUCAGCCAUGGCGCGGUGAAUACGUUCCCGGGCCUUGUACACACCGCCCGUCAAGCCAUGAAAGCCGGGGGCGCCUAAAGUCCGUGACCGUAAGGAGCGGCCUAGGGCGAAACUGGUAAUUGGGGCUAAGUCGUAACAAGGUA
Molecule: ribosomal RNA, 1249 nt
Filed under: metagenome
Description: bacterial SSU rRNA
Rfam family: Bacterial small subunit ribosomal RNA
Source: RNAcentral